This 1320-nucleotide ribosomal RNA is filed under the name uncultured archaeon. RNAcentral's name for it is "bacterial SSU rRNA". It matches the Rfam family "Archaeal small subunit ribosomal RNA", at positions 5 to 1300 of the family's 1478-position model. The record is from RNAcentral.
CGGUUGAUCCUGCCGGACCCGACUGCUAUCGGAGGGAGACUAAGCCAUGCGAGUUGAACGCUUUUCGACUGCGGGAAGCGUGGCGAACGGCUCAGUAACACGUAGUCAACCUGCCCUAGAGACUCGAACAACCCCGGGAAACUGGGAUUAAUUCGUGAUAAACCAAAGCUCCUGGAAUGGGCUUCGAUUCAAAGGAAUGUGCAGGUAUGUUCUGCACGUUUGCUCUAGGAUGGGACUGCGGCCGAUCAGGUUGUUGGUGGGGCAACGGCCUACCAAACCUAUAACCGGUACGGGCCGUGAGAGCGGGAGCCCGGAGAUGGAUACUGAGACAAGGAUCCAGGCCCUACGGGGCGCAGCAGUUGCGAAAACUCCACAAUGCACGAAAGUGUGAUGGGGCUACCCCGAGUGCCGUCCGCUGAGGAUGGCUUUUCUCUGCUGUAAGGAGGCGGAGGAAUAAGGAGAGGGCAAGUCUGGUGUCAGCCGCCGCGGUAAUACCAGCUCUCCGAGUGGUGGGGACGAUUAUUGGGCCUAAAGCGUCCGUAGCCGGCUUGACAAGUCUUCUGUUAAAUCCAGCAACCUAAUUGUUGGACUGCGGGAGAUACUGUCAGGCUAGAGAACGGGAGAGGUCGACGGUACUCUCAGGGUAGGAGUGAAAUCCUAUAAUCCUGGGAGGACCACCAGUGGCGUAGGCUGUCGGCUAGAACGUGUCCGACGGUGAGGGACGAAAGCUUGGGGAGCGAACCGGAUUAGAUACCCGGGUAGUCCAAGCUGUAAACUAUGCGGGCUAGGUGUUGACGUGGCUACGUGCCACUUCAGUGCCGCAGGGAAGCCGUUAAGCCCGCCGCCUGGGGAGUACGGUCGCAAGGCUGAAACUUAAAGGAAUUGGCGGGGGAGCACCACAAGGGGUGAAGCUUGCGGUUUAAUUGGAGUCAACGCCGGGAACCUUACCGGGGACGACAGCAGAAUGAAAGCCAGAUUAAAGGUCUUGCUAGACGAGCUGAGAGGAGGUGCAUGGCCGUCGCCAGUUCGUGCCGUGAGGUGUCCUGUCAAGUCAGGCAACGAUCGAGACCCACAUCCAUUGUUGCGGCCUCGGAGGUUUCUCCGAGGAGCAAGACUGUGGAGACUGCCGCCGAUAAGGCGGAGGAAGGAGUGGGCCACGGCAGGUCAGUAUGCCCCGAAUUCCCCGGGCCACACGCGAGCUGCAAUGGCAGGGACAAUGAGCUUCCAACUCCGAGAGGAGGAGGUAAUCCCUAAACCCUGUCUCAGUUUGGAUUGAGGGCUGCAACCCGCCCUCAUGAAUAAUGGAAUCCCUAGUAAUCG